CCUACCAUGCCCACCACGCGGCCUUGCACUUCCAGGCCCUGGGCACGGCCCUUCUGCUCACCCGCCCUCCUUGUCCCGGCCCAGGGGGCCGCGGGCGCUGGACCCGGCCUGGCGCGCCUCGAAGUCGGCCGCGGAGGUCAGGGGACGCUGCCUUUCCACUAGCAGACGGACCCAUGCGGACCCCAGCCCGUGCCCCAGCCUCCCCGCCUGUCACAUGCCCAGAAUCCUGGGGCAGAAAUAGGCCUGCCCACCCAUCUGCAAAGACAGCAGAAUCCUCAUCAAUAAGGAUCCCCAGAGUGGUCCCUUAGUGCUUAGCAUGGGCUGCAUCCCUCCCUCCACCAGUGUCCUCAACCAGCCUCUGUCCCUUUCCAGAUUCUGACCUCAAAAUCAGCUUGAAGGGGAGAGGACAGGGAAAUUCUUUUCCUGGAUGGGUCUGUCCCUGUUCUAAUGCUAGGAAAUGGAAAGCCAGCAUCAAUGCCUUCUUUACCACCCUGCACUCAAAGGUGGAAGCAAAAACGCCAACUCAGAAAAGCCAGUCGCUGCUGCUGUCAGGAGCCUGAAAUCCACCUCAACAGUGGGCCGCUGCUCAAGUCCCUAUCACCAUUGCAGUACCAGGUCCCACCACCCUAUCACCAUUCCUCUCAUGGAGUCUCAAACCAGGGAGGGGAAAUAAUAUCUAAGAGGAGUGGAGGAGCAGAAUCCUUCCCCAAACCUGCGGACUCCUGGAAUGGAGAAAGGGAAGGCCCUGGCGUUUCAGGAGAUGCCUGGGGAGUCGUGUUUCCUGUGUUAGGGAGACCUGGAUGACAUGCCUCAGCUUCUGCUCGCAAGCCCCCUCCCAUGACCUCUCCAACAGCCUGUAGGGAAAUCCCUUGCAAAUAAAUAGUAUACAGACUAAGCAACCAACUACUGUGUGGAAUGGUGAACAGGGAGGGCAGUGAAUCACCAGGUACUAUGGGAAGACUAGAGCUAGGCCAGACUCUGGAAAGAAUUUGUUGACAGUCAUUGGA
This 1007-nucleotide long non-coding RNA is filed under the name Homo sapiens (human). Its description in RNAcentral is "HSALNT0243498". The record is from RNAcentral. Lineage: Eukaryota; Metazoa; Chordata; Mammalia; Primates; Hominidae.